Molecule: ribosomal RNA, 500 nt
Filed under: uncultured bacterium
Lineage: Bacteria
Description: partial 16S ribosomal RNA
Rfam family: Bacterial small subunit ribosomal RNA
Source: RNAcentral
AUUGAACGCUGGCGGCAGGCCUAACACAUGCAAGGCGAGCGGCAGCGGGACCUUCGGGUUGCCGGCGAGCGGCGGACGGGUGAGUAAUGCCUAGGAAUCUGCCUGUUAGUGGGGGAUAACGCGGGGAAACUCGCGCUAAUACCGCAUACGUCCUACGGGAGAAAGCGGGGGCUCUUCGGACCUCGCGCUAACAGAUGAGCCUAGGUCGGAUUAGCUAGUUGGUGGGGUAAUGGCCCACCAAGGCGACGAUCCGUAACUGGUCUGAGAGGAUGAUCAGUCACACUGGAACUGAGACACGGUCCAGACUCCUACGGGAGGCAGCAGUGGGGAAUAUUGGACAAUGGGCGAAAGCCUGAUCCAGCCAUGCCGCGUGUGUGAAGAAGGUCUUCGGAUUGUAAAGCACUUUAAGUCGGGAGGAAGGGCUGUAGGCUAAUACCUUGCAGUUUUGACGUUACCGACAGAAUAAGCACCGGCUAACUUCGUGCCAGCCGCCGCAGUAA